Long non-coding RNA from Oryzias melastigma (Indian medaka), 1530 nucleotides. RefSeq lists it as uncharacterized. Lineage: Eukaryota; Metazoa; Chordata; Actinopteri; Beloniformes; Adrianichthyidae. The transcript is spliced from 2 exons. The record is from RefSeq and is a predicted model, not a curated record.
ACCUCAUGGCUCGAGUAGUCCAGUAUUUUUUUUUACAGUCAAUGGUUUAACCCAAUGAGUUCUAUAGUCUCGAGACGCUACACCAGCCUGUUAGCAUUGUCCAGUGUACGUGAAGAGUGACGCCAUAUUGGAGAGGUCAGUAAACAAUGAGACACGGCUUAGCAGAGACAGUAAAAUGAACAGAAAAUUGUUAAUUUUGGUCUGAUUUUAAAAAGAUAAAAACUCUGAUCAACACAAAAAUAACAUCUAGAACGUGGUGUUGAUGUUUGUGUACAAAGAAGAAAGAAACAAAAAGAACCAAACCUUCACGUGUUGCAGCAACAGUUUCCAUGUUUGUGAGGAUCUUGUGAAGAACAGCUCAGUUCCAGAUCACAUCAAGAUGUUUGAUGUUAUUCUCAUUCCAGGAAAUCAUCUCUGUCUCCUUUGAUCUGUGCUGAGUCAGCACUUUCACUCCUUUUUCUUUAGACUUGAUAUCAAUCAUUAAGUAUUUAUUGAUCAAGAGGAUUUGUGGACAGAAAAUUUAAAGUAAAUGUAUUGAUCAUCCAGUAAGUCUUUUAUUUUGAAAUUCUUCAAGGAGGAUCAUCAUGGUGGAUUUCUAGAUCUGCAUGAACUCAUCCUAAAUCCAAAAGAAUCAAAGCCACUUCCUUCACUCUUCAUCAGCAUGAAGAUCCAGGUUUGAUCCAGGCUUCCUGUGGUGGAGCGGUCGUCACCGUCAAGAAACUGUUGGUGGUUUGAUUCCAGGUGGAAGCUCCUCGUUCCUCUCUCACACUGACGUUUCUGAUGUUCAGACUCAUGGUUCAGCUGCAGAACUGUUAGAAGGUGCGUGGACUCAUCAGAUCCGGACCUCCUGGUUCUGGUGGGAGCAGAAGAACUGCUUUGUUCUUCAGAAAGCUUUUUCCAUGGCUCAGCAGACAGACCUCAGCAGCUCAUCCAGAACGUCAUGACAGCCGUCAGGAUUUGAGAUCUAAGGGGACUUUUUUUCAGCUCUCUGAACCAGAACCGUAAACUAUAGGUCACCUCCGUUCUCUUCUCCUGCAGAGAACAAUGAGCUUCCUUCAGCAAUGAGUGGAGGUAGAAUGAUCUUUCAUUCUUCAGCAGCACCAGGAUCCACAUCCAGCCCAUCACCAGCAGAACAUCAGUGACAUCAGAGUCUGAUCUUCAUCAGAUCCUCAUUAAAGGACAACCUCCACGUUUUGACUCUAAUGGAUUUCUCUGCUUCUUCCCAUCAACUGGAUUGUCAAACAUUUUCAUUUAAUCAUCAGGAGAGUUCAGCUGGAGGUGAAGAAUGAAACAUUUUCAAACAUCAGUUUUAUUCAUGUUUCAUUCAAGUCUCUGAUGAUGAGAUUUGAAUAGUUUUUAUUUUUAUUUAUAUCCAUUUUUUUCUGGUUAAAUGUUACUUUUUGAACAUGCUUUUAUUUUGAAACAAUGAUAACUGUUGUUAUGCUGCACUGAAUUGUGUUCAAUGUGUUUUGUGUCCUGUUUUCAAUUGUAAUUGUAGUGAAACAUGGCCGCUGACACGGACAAACAGAA